UUAGUGGAAGCGUCUGGAAAGGCGCGCGAUACAGGGUGACAGCCCCGUACACAAAAGCGCAUGUGCUGUGAGCUCGAUGAGUAGGGCGGGACACGUGGUAUCCUGUCUGAAUAUGGGGGGACCAUCCUCCAAGGCUAAAUACUCCUGACUGACCGAUAGUGAACCAGUACCGUGAGGGAAAGGCGAAAAGAACCCCGGCGAGGGGAGUGAAAAAGAACCUGAAACCGUGUACGUACAAGCAGUGGGAGCACCCUUCGGGGUGUGACUGCGUACCUUUUGUAUAAUGGGUCAGCGACUUAUAUUCUGUAGCAAGGUUAACCGUAUAGGGGAGCCGGAGGGAAACCGAGUCUUAACCGGGCGUUAAGUUGCAGGGUAUAGACCCGAAACCCGGUGAUCUAGCCAUGGGCAGGUUGAAGGUUGGGUAACACUAACUGGAGGACCGAACCGACUAAUGUUGAAAAAUUAGCGGAUGACCUGUGGCUGGGGGUGAAAGGCCAAUCAAACCGGGAG
RNAcentral lists this ribosomal RNA (510 nucleotides) under Salmonella enterica. RNAcentral describes it as "partial 23S ribosomal RNA". It matches the Rfam family "Bacterial large subunit ribosomal RNA", at positions 329 to 844 of the family's 2925-position model. The record is from RNAcentral. RNAcentral also lists the same sequence under 1 other name. Lineage: Bacteria; Pseudomonadati; Pseudomonadota; Gammaproteobacteria; Enterobacterales; Enterobacteriaceae.